This 520-nucleotide unclassified non-coding RNA is filed under the name uncultured Glomus. RNAcentral's name for it is "SSU rRNA". It matches the Rfam family "Eukaryotic small subunit ribosomal RNA", at positions 569 to 1090 of the family's 1831-position model. The record is from RNAcentral. Lineage: Eukaryota; Fungi; Glomeromycota; Glomeromycetes; Glomerales; Glomeraceae.
AGCAGCCGCGGUAAUUCCAGCUCCAAUAGCGUAUAUUAAAGUUGUUGCAGUUAAAAAGCUCGUAGUUGAAUUUCGGGGUUAGUAGGUUGGCCAUGCCUCUGGUAUGUACUGGUCUCACUGAUUCCUCCUUCCUGAUGAGCCGUAAUGCCAUUAAUUUGGUGUUGCGGGGAAUUUGGACUGUUACUUUGAAAAAAUUAGAGUGUUUAAAGCAAGCUAACGCUUGAAUACAUUAGCAUGGAAUAAUGAAAUAGGACGUUCGAUCCUAUUUUGUUGGUUUCUAGGAUUGACGUAAUGAUUAAUAGGGAUAGUUGGGGGCAUUAGUAUUCAAUUGUCAGAGGUGAAAUUCUUGGAUUUAUUGAAGACUAACUACUGCGAAAGCAUUUGCCAAGGAUGUUUUCAUUAAUCAAGAACGAAAGUUAGGGGAUCGAAGACGAUCAGAUACCGUCGUAGUCUUAACCAUAAACUAUGCCGACUAGGGAUCGGAUGAUGUUAAUUUUUUAAUGACUCAUUCGGCGCCUUA